AGAGGGGUGGCUGGUAUGGUAUGUCAGGGCUUUGUAUGACACUAGAAGUAAAGAAAGUAAAAGAAGCAAGGAAAAAAAGAUAUUUAAGACAUGGCCAGGAAAAGAGGCAGAACCUAAGACAAAGAAAUGACAACUGAAAAUAGAUAAAAGAAUCUGUUAAUGCCGAUUAGUGGAAAUUAUCACUUAUUUCGAGCUUAUUGUUCCUUUUUUAGAAAAGAUUCUUUGGUUUGAUGACACCAUUUUGCUGUUCCUCUUUGCUAUUCUCUUCCCCAUAAUUUUUUUUCCCAAAAUUGUUUUUCAAUCAACUUAAAAAAAAUCUUCCAGUAUAGAUUACAAUCACAAAACAUUUCAGAGGCACUUUAAACAUCCUUUUGCAGCAUGCGGUAGCAGAAGGGGAGGUUCCUUGGUCCCGUCGCCUACAUACUGCUCUUCCUGAAUGGACCCGAGAGGGAGCUGUGUGUGUGAUGCUGUUUCCGAACGAUCAGAGUCCAACUCGUCCAGCUUGGCAACUUCUCACCGAGCACAGAGAACAUCGGCCAUCGGGCGCUGGACCACCUGACACAGACAGAUGUUUUCUUUCAAGUUAUAAUUCAAUUUGAAUUUGCAUUGAUACACAAAUUGUGUGGUUUAAUGUGGUUUGGACGGCCAUGUUGGAAGGUGAAAUGAUGAGCAUAGUCACUUCCAUGAAAGGCAGAUAUUUGAAUGGGUUUCCAGUGAGAUUUUCAAGUGCAUCAACAUUUUAUUGGUCAUCAAUGGCAAUUAACUGUAGUGUGUUAAUGGACCCUUGUGAAUUCUUUAGUAAAUGACCUUUCAGUGAUUUUAGUAAAUCAUGUUAGUGUUAUCCCAUGUUUUAAAACCAUAGCCAGGUGAUUUGUGAUGGUUUUUUUUAACUGGCUAGCCACUUGGAUGGAUUUAAACUUGAA
Long non-coding RNA from Silurus meridionalis, 923 nucleotides. RefSeq lists it as uncharacterized. The transcript has 2 exons. NCBI's taxonomy places the organism in Eukaryota, Metazoa, Chordata, Actinopteri, Siluriformes, Siluridae. The record is from RefSeq and is a predicted model, not a curated record.